RNAcentral lists this long non-coding RNA (265 nucleotides) under Salvia miltiorrhiza (redroot sage). RNAcentral describes it as "long non-coding RNA (SMIL_LNC003801)". Lineage: Eukaryota; Viridiplantae; Streptophyta; Magnoliopsida; Lamiales; Lamiaceae. The record is from RNAcentral.
GCGUGAGUUGCUUGUCUGUGUUUUGUGUGUGGUGUGUGUGUUUUGUAUAUUUAUAUGUGUGUUAUAGAAUUAGGGUUUAAAUUUUAGGAUUUAUUAUUUAAUUUGUGUGGGCCGAAAAUUUUUAUAAAAAAGAAAGAGAGUGGGCCGAUUUUUAUUUCUAUGUGGGCCGAUUUUAUUUUAAUUCUGCUGGGCUCUUUUUGUUCUUAAUUGAUGGGUUUUUAUUUUAGUUGUGUGGACUAAUUUUAUUUAAAUGCUUGGGCUAUUG